RNAcentral lists this transfer RNA (71 nucleotides) under Marmota monax (woodchuck). Its description in RNAcentral is "tRNA.Ala". It matches the Rfam family "tRNA". From Rfam's summary of the family: Transfer RNA (tRNA) molecules are approximately 80 nucleotides in length. Their secondary structure includes four short double-helical elements and three loops (D, anti-codon, and T loops). Lineage: Eukaryota; Metazoa; Chordata; Mammalia; Rodentia; Sciuridae. The record is from RNAcentral.
GGGGUUGUGGCUCAGAGGUAGAGCACUCACCUAGCAUGUGUGAGGCACUGAGUUCGAUCCUCAGCACCACA